AGUGAACGCUGGCGGUAGGCCUAACACAUGCAAGUCGAACGGCAGCACAGAGGAGCUUGCUCCUUGGGUGGCGAGUGGCGGACGGGUGAGGAAUACAUCGGAAUCUACUCUGUCGUGGGGGAUAACGUAGGGAAACUUACGCUAAUACCGCAUACGACCUACGGGUGAAAGCAGGGGACCUUCGGGCCUUGCGCGAUUGAAUGAGCCGAUGUCGGAUUAGCUAGUUGGCGGGGUAAAGGCCCACCAAGGCGACGAUCCGUAGCUGGUUUGAGAGAAUGAGCAGCCACGCUGGAAGUGAGACACAGUCCAGACUCCUACGGGAGGCAGCAGUGGGGGAUAUUGGACAAUGGGCGAAAGCCUGAUACAGCCAUACCGCGGGGGUGAAGAAGGCCUUCGGGUUGUAAAGCCCUUUUGUUGGGAAAGAAAUCCAGCUGGCUAAUACCCGGUUGGGAUGACGGUACCCAAAGAAUAAGCACCGGCUAACUUCGUGCCAGCCGCCGCAGUAA
Molecule: ribosomal RNA, 506 nt
Filed under: uncultured bacterium
Lineage: Bacteria
Description: partial 16S ribosomal RNA
Rfam family: Bacterial small subunit ribosomal RNA
Source: RNAcentral